AUACGGAGGAUCCGAGCGUUAUCCGGAUUUAUUGGGUUUAAAGGGUGCGCAGGCGGGAGAUUAAGUCGGCGGUGAAAUUUUUCAGCGCCACUGUAAAAGUGCCUUCGAAAACGGUUUCCUUGAGUGUAGGUGAAGGAGGGGGAAUUUGUGGUGUUGCGGUGAAAUGCAUAGAUAUACCGAGGAACUCCGAUUGCGCAGGCAGCUUACUAAACUACUACUGACGCUCAGGCACGAAGGCGUGGGGAUCAAACAGGAUUAGAUACCCUGGUAGUCCACGCAGUAAACGAUGAUUACUAGCUGUUUGCGAUACAAUGUAAGCGGCUGAGCGAAAGCGUUAAGUAAUCCACCUGGGGAGUACGUUCGCAAGAAUGAAACUCAAAUGAAUUGACGGGG
Molecule: ribosomal RNA, 393 nt
Filed under: uncultured bacterium
Lineage: Bacteria
Description: partial 16S ribosomal RNA
Rfam family: Bacterial small subunit ribosomal RNA
Source: RNAcentral